RNAcentral lists this transfer RNA (74 nucleotides) under Gemmata obscuriglobus. RNAcentral describes it as "tRNA-Glu". It matches the Rfam family "tRNA". From Rfam's summary of the family: Transfer RNA (tRNA) molecules are approximately 80 nucleotides in length. Their secondary structure includes four short double-helical elements and three loops (D, anti-codon, and T loops). The record is from RNAcentral. Lineage: Bacteria; Pseudomonadati; Planctomycetota; Planctomycetia; Gemmatales; Gemmataceae.
GGCCCGUUCGUCUAGCGGUUCAGGACGACAGGUUCUCAACCUGUAAACGGGGGUUCGAUUCCCCCACGGGUCAC